Molecule: long non-coding RNA, 23986 nt
Filed under: Hordeum vulgare
Lineage: Eukaryota; Viridiplantae; Streptophyta; Magnoliopsida; Poales; Poaceae
Description: long non-coding RNA (HVUL_LNC021273)
Source: RNAcentral
GGCGCGUUCGUGGCGGCGAGGUAGCGGCCGUAGGCGGCGCUGUGGAGGAGAACGUACUGGGAAUCUCCAUAUCCCUGGUAGAUGUGCACCGCCCAGGCCGCGUUCAUCGACGCCCGGCGGUGGUGGAGGGAGACGCGACGCCCGUCCUCGUCGGCGUGCAGGUACGCGCCGGUCUCUCGGCUCCGCAGACGCACGUGGUGGCCGUCCUGGAACUGCUCCGUGGCUCUUCGGUGCCGCAGGAGAUCAGAGGCGCGCAGUGGAGACGAUGGUGGGUUUCUUGCUUCCAUGGCGACGGGGAGAAGAGGAGAAGCGAAAGCUGUUGGUUGAGACGGUUGCGUUCGGGCGCCAAGGCGGGGGUAUUUCAAGGUGCACGCUGUGGCCCGUGCUCGCACAGUGGGCCUGUGGGCUCAGCCCAUAUUACUUUUUUUAGACAACCUCAGCCCUUACUACUGAGUGCAGCCUCUUGCAUGCUCCAGAGGCGCACGGCAUAUCCUAUACUAGUUGUUGGGGCACAGCCUUGCUGCGCCCCUUGAGGCGUGCCGUUGCGGUGCUAUGUAGGCACUCGCUCUUUUCUCUUGCUUCUUUGUGAUUUGUGUGAUGCAUCUGCAUGCAAGCUAUGAAAACCGCUUCAACAAAAUAUAUAGGUUGUUCACGUGAGAAUAAACCGCAUCAUAUGCAAUAGCAUAGUCAGGUGCAAGUUGCUGGUUGGAAAAACAAGAAAAAAAUCAACUGAUGAUAGGCUGUUUUGAUAAGCAAUAUAUUGGUGCUUAGUAGAAUUAAGCUCACAUGACUUGUUCUUACAGAUUUGUAAAUGAUUAUAGAAGAAUAUAAGAUUCCUACAAACAAUAGAUGAGACAUAAGUAUACUAAGUGAUUGCCAGAUGACCGAGGCUGAGCCCCGCCACCUCCUCCAUCCUUGCUGCCAACAACGGGGAUGAGCCCCUGAACCUCAUCACCACGCCAGAUUAUCUGCUCCUUCCACUCCGAUUUCUCCGUUGGAAGCUCACGUCUCUAUCGCCCUCUUUCUUGGCCUGACAGUGGGAGUCCAGUAGCAAGCAAAAGGUGAUACAAACGGGUAAGUGUUUGUGGUAUCUUGAUGUCACAAACAGAUAUCAAGAUGAAAAUGCAUGAUACAAGGCACCGUACCUUUAUCUGUCAGAUCUGAAAUGCAAAGAAAACAAAAAUAAACAAGUAAAUUUCAUCAAAGUAGUAAUGCAUCCUAACAAAAAAAUGUGCAAAAAGUUGUAUGCAAGAGUUAUGAUUUAUAAGGCUUAGCUGCACAAUGCUUUUCGACAAAAUAUCUAUAGAUACAAAUGGCAAGAGAAAUGUUGUAUUGUUCACAACAUGGUUAGAGUGCCAUGGCUUCCAAUGUUAUAAAUCAGUCCCCAAAUGUUUUCAGCAAGAAAGUUCUUGCUGACAAGGAGGUAAAAUACUAUUUUAUUUUCAUUUGACAUUGACAUAACAAAAGGUUGGUAAAUAUCAUGAAAUGCUUUACCCUUAAAUAAUUAUGUUCCUGACAGGAAACAUUUGAUGGCAUCAAUCUUUUUUCGAUUAUGACAAUCAUUUUUCUUGUUAGUCCCGACGACACCUUUGAUUUCAACAUCUUAUCAAAUUGUUGCGGAGGACUAAUAUUAUAUAGCAGAUACAGAUCCAUUAGAAGAAUGCCGUGACCAGAAAUUUGAUUUUUGCAUCUUAUCAAAUUGUUGUUGGUCCUGACCACACCUUUGUAUAGUGUUACCCUUCUUGCACAUGAGACGCUCUUAUGUGUUUUGAAGUCGUAACUCAGAAUUUCAACAACUUUACCAUGUUUUAGUGUUUCCAUACAAGAGAGUAGUAAAUCCGUACCAAAUGUAUCUGCAAUUAGGACAGGAGCAGCAUCAAUAACAAAGCGAGUCCACAUCUCUUGCCAAUAGCACAAAAACACAUCAGGUUCUCAUGAAACAUGCGCUGUACCUAGCUGAUCAAAGUUAUAAUCAUGAACACAGAAUGAUUCCUCGUUACAUAGUCCAUAAUAAAAUGACUCUUGUGAUAUUUGAGGUCAAAAUUCUUAUUGCUUGAGAGAUUUUACCCAUCAUAUGAUUACAAUAAAAUUAUAGCAAAGGAUGUUGAUAAAAAAUUGAUUGCAUAGUUAAUGAAACCACACACAUAUAAAACAGGAGAAAUAAACUAUUAGUGUCUUUAUCGAGAAAAACUGGAUUGUCCAAUUAUCAUAAGAAGCGUAAUCAGAGUUGUAAUACACAAAACCUGUGUAAUAACAAUUAUACACUGAUUGUAUAGCUGAUUGAAGAUAAUUUUGCAAACAGUAUUUUAACUUGAAGAAAGCAAAAAAGGUUUGUUGUCAUCAUAUGAUGGGUGAGGUGCAUUUGGUGUAGAAAGGUUGUACCAUGUCAGUGACUACAAUUCACUGAAUUUUUGCUACCAAACAGAAAGAACAGAACCCAUCGAGUAAACACAAAUGGUUCCUGGUGCCCAUUCCUCCAGGCCUCACAUCAUUGGUAGCUCCUCCCCCGACAAAGAAUCUUUCAGGUUCAGCUCGUGCAAACGGAGUGCUGGAUGAUGGACGCGAGCCGCGGUAGCAUUAAGCACUUCGCGUGUCGAGUACAUUCCCAUCUAGUGUUCAACAAACCUACAGUCACCUAGAUAUAAAGUAAAAGGGUAAAAUUAGGAUGUUAAAAAGCCACUUAGAUCCACGUCUUGGUGCAAAAUAAUUAUUAAAUGAUUAUACAAGUCUUUAAGAUGAAGAUCCCAAUAACAAAAAUGUCCAUAAAUAAUAAGACAUUGGGAUAAAAUAAUUUUGUCUUCUAUAAAUGUAUCCUUGAAAAGACAGAAUAUAAGUGUGUGAAAACAGCUUGUCCAGAAGAUCAACCUUAUUCCUUUCCUCAGGCGCUAUGCAUACAUUUUGAGAGCUCAUGGCAAGACCAUCGACUUCUCGCACUCUAUCUGAUCCUACUAUCUCUAUGGCAAAAUCAAGGUCGCAAUCCUGAAAAUACCAUGAGCGUAUAUAACUAACUGGAACACUGAACAAAAUGGUCCAGAUUCAAUCGUAUCUAUAGCUGAUGCAAUGAGAAAGGAAACUUUGCAAUUUUAUUCAUCAUUAUAAUCGGAAAAGUCAUGGCCGAGUCACUGGAAUGGCAAUGCCAAGAACUGAAUAAUUUGUUCAGGCAAUUAAAAAUAGCAUCAUGAAUUUUGUCGCGCACAAACUCAUGCAUGCUGACUCGGCGAAUACUUAAUCCUAAGGGUCAGACUGCAGGGUCUAAGACAAUAGUCCGUUUUUGCAACAGACCAAAUGAGUACGCAACCUAACCGUCAGAAAGUACUGCUGCAAUGUGCCUCUGUCUAAGUUCUACAAAAAAUUCAGCACAUACCAGACGCAAGAUAAAUUACAGUAAGGUUGAAUAUCAUCAUAAAACUGGCAGAUGCAAAGAGUAUAGUUACUCUUUCUGUGUAGUGUUUAGGCACUAACAGUCAGGAUCUACUUUGCACGUUCAUUUCUCGUGUCCUAAAGCUAUGUCAUGUUAACUUGGUUUGAUUUGCAUGUCACAGACGUUGAACUAAAUGCAUAACCCUAGAUGGAAGCAGCAAUGCUUGGGCUGUCGCUGAGCUCACCAAGAAAAUUUGAGCAUGCGCUUUAGCCAUGUAUAUCAUCUAAAAACAACAAACUCGACAGAACAAGUAGAGCUUAACCUGGAAGCCAUCACAAUGUACAAGAUCUCCUAAUGCAAUUCUCUUCUCAUAAUCCACCGUUGGACCAUCUGUGGAACAUCUGCACAGUUUGGGACAGUAAUCGGGUUAAUUCAAAUGCCUUCAGCAGAAAAUAAAAAGGGCUCCAAGCAUAAAAGCGUAAUGAAAAAUGAAACCUUUAACCGGAUCAGCCGAUAACCAAAUGAAUUGGCAUAUGGAAGAGGCUUAAAUAUCAUUGAAUGAGAAGAAUUAUAUGCUAAAUUUAUAAAUAACUGAGAUGAAUAUUAUAAAUUGUUUGGAUCUAAGUCUCCAACUUAGAGAAAAGUAAACGCAGGCUCCAAACCUAUCCUAUGAAAAAAACAUCAAGCUAAGUAACUAAGCUAAAAUUCUACCAUUUCUCAUCGGAAGUGCAAAACCUUUUAACAUAAUAGUCGGAUGGUUUAGUUUUUCUUGGUCAGGUUUGCCUUUAAAUCAAUUUAACACUAUAAAAUGACCCAGAAUAGUCUAAUGCUCUAGAGACUUUUUCAUUUGCUGGCAAUGGAAGCUGGUUAAGUAGCAUUCAAAUUAAAGGGAAGAGGAUGUGAGCAUUAAGAAGGUGAGAACAUAUCCUCCAAUUCACAGAUUCACUUAUUUUCGUCAGCAGCGAUAUGUUCCUCAGCUUCUCCGAAUAACAUGUGACAUGAAUGUAUGAUUAAAUAUCAUGAGACGAAACAACGCAUGAACCGUACAGUGUAGAUCAGGAGAAGAUCAUCGAAAAAGAAAAAACAAAGAAGGAGAAGAAAAAGAAAGUGAACAGCUAAAAUCAAAGGACCAAACACUCAACAAACAGCUAAAAUACCCCAACAAAAAUCCAAAGGAGCAGCAAAAGCAAGAAGAAGAAAUCAGAACAGAAGUAGGAGACGUCAAUCAUAUAAAGGGUAUGAAAUAAAUUAGCCAACUACUUGUAGACAAUAACAUAUUGGAUAUCCUCUUGCUCUUGUAAGGAAGUUGCUAAUCUAGGAUUAAGAAUCAACAUUUCGAUGGAAAACCGAAAGAGAAGUGUGGAUCUUACCUUGCCAAAUGAAGAGGCCUCAUCCUCGCCCCCACUCUCUCAUGACGCCAGUGAAGAACAUGCCCCUGGGAAGUUCCAGUUUCAACAGUUAAACGAUCAGUUGCAAAAUUCAAAUAAUCCAUGCUCGAUUUUGAAGCUAGCAGUCUACCCAACACAUGGGUCCCCUAUCUGUAGCGCAUCUGAGACCGGGCAAACCAACCGGCAUUGGGAUCUCGUGGAAACCACGGAGGCUGGGGAUCAAAGAGACGAACCGUGAAAGUCGCGGAGGCUGGGGACCUCGUUAGUGCCGGUCUUCCUGAAGCUACGAAAGUCGAGGGGUUGACCACGGCCACCAACGCCGGCUAAGACGCCGGUCAUCACCAUGCGGCGCAGACGAGGCGCGGUGGAGACGAGCAACAUGAGAAGGCGGUGGUUGUUCUCCCCUUCCGCUCGGUUCGAUCUGGACGGCGGGAGCACCGCGUCUCCCAGGCUGCCGCCUCGCUCGGAGAAGAUGCCGCCGAAAGAAGAUGCGGACGAGAGAUAGAGAGAUGAUAGGUUGCAUGUGGUGGUAGAGAACGUGGAGUGUUUGGGUUGGGCUGCGUACGUGCGUACAGAGGCCUUUUACUCCCUUCAUAAGAUUUCUUUCCUUUUUUUCAUCGCUGCGUACAGUAAAGCCUUGCCGACGUGGAUAGCGCCAGCGUUCACCCCUUCUGCGUAGCUUAUUGUGUUUGAUGGCGGUUCAGGCAUCCUUUAUUGUGCAUGAAAAAACUAACGCGUGUGUGAUGGAUCUUUUUUUUUUUCUGAAAUUGAAGCAGGGAUCUUUUGUCCCUGAUAUACCACCCAACCACAACGCCUUGUUGUGAUAAAUUCUCCCUCAAUUACUUUUACUUCCGUUUUUUACUUUUACUUUUCUUUUCAAUUUACUUCAAUUUCCUGAUUUUUUGUCAAAAUCAGUAAAGUUUUCUUUAAACGUGUAACAUUUUCAAUUUGUGAUUGUUUUUUGCAAAAUCUGAUGAAGUUUUUCAAAAUCCAUGAAGUUUAAGAAAUGAUGAAUUUUGUAGAAAUUUCUGCAAAAUCAAUGUUUUUUUUCAAAUUGAUUCACAUUCUUCAAUAUUGACGAACUUGUUUUCUAGAAUCGGCAAACCUUUUCAGAUUAACAAACUUUUUUUCAAGUUUACAUUUUUUUCAAAUUAAUGAACUUAUUUUUAAUUUUCGAAUUGUUUUUGUUUUUGGCUAUUUUUUCCAGAUUUUGUUUCAUCAAAUAUAAACAUGUACAUGGACCGGACAACCCGUGGGGGCUACGGAGCCUCUCUCGCGCCUGAAGUGCCCAAUAGAAACUCCCGAGGCCCUCAUGAUUUGUUUCCUUUUGUCCUGAUUACUGAAUAAACCCAUGACACGAUAUUCGUAUUCUGUACUCAUUGGAACAAGUUUGUCGAUGUAUCCUACGGACAACUCCAAAGCGGUGACACAAACCGAUAUGGAUUUUGUCCAUUUUCUGUACAUUUGAUUCGGUGUUUUGGCCUUUGACAGUGUUUAGGUGGGCAGUAUGCCCAAUGCAGUGAUGCUUUUUCCUCCGCUUGGUCGGUAUGCGGCCAUAUUUUUGCUUUUUUCAUACAUGUCAAAAACAUUACUAAAACAUGGCGUAAUUUAAUCAAAUACAAAUAUCAUAGUUUCACAAUCAAAUAAAAUUUCAUACCUUACAAACCAAAUAAAAAUUAAAUUGUCACAAAUAUAUUUGAAGAAAAAAAGCAGUCAAUACAUUUAUUGGUUGACAAGGUGAACCCACAUAUGCUCAAUCAAAUCAUCUUGUAGUUGAAUGUGAGUUAAUUAAUUAAACAUGCAUUUGGUAAUGAAAUUCGACGAACAAUGCAAAUGUCGCCGCUCCUCCAUGCUCAAGCAUAACAUUUUCAUCCUAAAACUGAAAUCCGUGAUCGAAGAUUUCAUCCUCAUGCUCAUCCUCUAUGAUCAUAUUGUGUAUGACUAAUGAACACACAAGCAGUCAUCACCUCCAGUAACUUCUCGGUAGUUCUAGCAGGAUAUUGUACGAUGCCCCGUCGAGAUUGAAGAACACCGAAAGCACGCUCCACAUCCUUUCUAGCACUCUCCUGUGCUCGAUAAAUCUCUGCCUCUUCUCUCCUUUCGUGUUGGAGAUUGUUUUGACAAGAGUAGUCCACUAAGGAUAGAUACCAUCAGCUAAGUAGUAUCCUUUGUUGUAGUGGGGUGGCCGUUGAUCUCAAUGAUGACCUCUGGGCAGUUGCUUUAUGCAAGCUUUGCCAACACCGGAGAGCGUUGAAGCACAUUAACGUCAUUGUGGUAGACGGCCAUGCAAAGACAGACUAUCAAAUCUAGAGAUCUUGUGAAGCCACGACCUCAAGUAUGAUAGUGCAAAGUUUCACUCGGCCCAUAUACUGUCAGUGACAAGCAGAAGUGUAGUUCUUCCACUCCCAAUGCACGCAGUCUAUGCAACCAAGCAUCCCGGAAGCCAUAUCGGCAUUGAUCGCAAACAAUCGGGUUGUAUCUGCAACAUUUGGCUCUCUGAAGAAUUUCGGGCAAAUACUGCUAUCGCAGCCUUCCAGAACAUAUACAUGAAGCCUAGGCACAUGGGCUCGCUCAUGCGAACAUACUCAUUAAUAAAUUACCAGGUCUUUUGUAUGCAAGCAUCUGAAUAGUUGGAGUGAAUUUCUAAUGAAGAGGGAAAGCCAACCUUUCGCAGGCCAUCCUCCUUACAUUUGAAAUAUUUAUCCUACACCACCACCUUGUCAUGUAUAUGAUUGAACACAUGUCUAGCCAUCCGGAAGCGACGCCGGAAUAUGUUGCGUUUGAAGAGUGGGUCAACGGACUGGAAGUAGUCCUCCCAGAGUAGGCAAUGGCCACUCUCUCUGUUGUGAUUCAACGCCAGAACAUGCCCCGAACCGAGCCCCUGAACAUCGACCGCUGCCUACUAAUGUUGUCAUGGACGACCAAAGUCGCAACCACAAUCUCCUCAUCGUUGGACGACAAAUUAUCCAAAUCGUAAAUGAAGUCUUUGAAACAGUACCCAUCGCCAUUAUCCAUUUGUACCUUGCGAGAAAAACGUCGAACACCUUGCGGGCGUGGUGAAGAAGCCGGCCGGUGAAGAGCCCCAGAUCUCUCCCUGACCAGGCAACACACAUGUGAAUGUGGAGGCGCCCAUGCGACGAUCGACGAGCCAAGUAGCCGAGCUUGGAGUGUUGUUGGUGGCGGCAGAUGUAAGAGGGUGGUGUGGACAAUUGGGGGGGGGGCUAUGACAACAAAGAAUAUAGUCCACCAACAUUGGCAAGAAUGGUGCCCCGCUGGUGUGGCGUGCUACUGGGGAGGUAUGUGGGUGUGGGCGGCAGCCUAGGAAACAUAGAAUUGGAACAGGGGCGGCGGCGGCGGCGAGGGAAGGGUGUGUUGGAUGUCGAUGGGAAUGGGAGUGGAAUGGCCAAUGUGCGAUCGACUGACGGCCAAGGAGAGGACAAGGGUGGGCGUUGCGCGCGUCCAUGCUGUGUCUGCCCUGACGCAAAAACGGCCCAGAAUUGAGUAACAAAUGGAUCAUGUGCUGGCAAUAUGUGAACGCUCGUCCGUUUGCCUCGGCGCAGUGGCCGUGGUUUCUGUCCAUUUCGACCCACACGGACAUGCAGAGACAGUUUGCAUCGACGUGUUCGAGUUACCCUAAGUUGCAGAUUCUCUCGGUCAUAAUCUAUGCCUAGAUAUCCUAUGUCGGUCCUCCCCUCUUCUCCCAGCUUAUCGUUGUAACAUAAGUAGCUAUUUCUGUAUGUCCUUCAUGGUUGUUGGAUUUCCACCAUUCUGAAAUAAUCUAUGCGAAAGCAAACACACGCGGUUCCCAUAUCAACCACCCUUCCCAUAAAAAGGGAUAUGCGCCGCUGCCCGCCGUCCAUGCCUCCUCCGUCCGCUCCUCCGACGAUGGGAGGGGGUGAGGACCCUAGUGCUUCUGUUCUCGCAUGUAGUUUGGGUUGGUCUAGUGUUUACUUGAGGCGUUGUUUUCAUGGAGGAGACGACGCCGCAUCGGAAUAAUUUGUCUAUGCUCUUCCUUCAUCUCGGCGUCUCUCCAAUCAAUGGUGUCACGGGGCAAGCGGCCCGAUCGUCUUCCCGACCUAUGGAUCCGGUGAGGUUCGUGUCUGGUGGUCCGCCAUCGGCGCUCUCACAGGUGGCGACUGUGUCGCCUAUUGUAGUUGUGUUUGUUGUCUUGCAGUUAGAUGCGUGAAUGACGGCAAGCGGCGGUGUUCCUCUUCUUAGACUAGAUCGGAUGAAGUUGACUGCUUCGAGAUCUGGUGACCAUGGGGAAGAUCUCCGGCCGACGUGCCACAAAGUCUUGGUCUCGUCGCUUGCGACGGUCCCAUUCAUCGGCUCGAAAAGUAUCUUUGUAUGUGAUGGUAUACUCUCCUAGAUCUCAGUAUGGCGGUUGGCCUUCUCUUUUCCCGGCGUUACCAUGAUGACGAAGAAAGGACGCUUAUGGACUAAAUUUCGACUAGGCACAAGUUUCUUCAAGGGUGAAAUAGUAAUUCUACUUCUUCCAGAUUUUUUUUGUGCAAAGUUGCAGGCUUCAGAGCAUCUCCAACGACAGCGCUAAAAAUCCGCGCCCAAUAAUUUUUUUAGCGCGCCACUGUAGCAGUUUUGAAGCACGGGGACCGGAGCAUCUCCAACAGACGCGCGCUAGUGCGGCGCCCAAUCUAGUCGAUCCAGCGGUCCCAUCUGCAGCAGCUCAGAGUUUGCUGCGCGCGCAAGCCGGCGCACCAAAUAUGCUGCCGCGAUAGCGUUUUUUAGCGCGCGCCCAAAAGUUUUUAGCGCGCGUAGUGUUUUGCAGCUUCUGCUGGAGCAGUCCGGCGCCCAAAAAACGGAUGUUUUAGCGCACAGAGCAGUUUUUGGGCGCCUGUUGGAGAUGCUCUCAUAAGCAUGUUUGUCUCUUAUGAUGACCAUACGUAUACACUAGUGGGGACAGGGCCUUUAGCCCCGGCCCGUAAGGGGAUUUAGUCCCGGUUCACCAACCGGGACUAAAGGGGCGGUACUAAAGGCCUAACCUUUAGUCCCGGCCCUGUUCCAAGCCGGGGCUAAAGGUGCUCCACGUGGGCGCCUCGUAGCGCCCUCAGGGGCAGGCCCUUUAGUCCCGGUUCAUUACACGGACCGGGACUAAAGAGUUUCAUAUUUUGUUUAUUUUUGGGUUUUAGGGUUUUAGGGUUUAGGUGUUCGGGGGAUUAACGUGAUGCCUCGUUUGGUGUUCGGGAAUUAGUUUUCAUAUAAUUCUAAAUAAAAAUAAUUAUGCAUAUAUAUAUAUAUAAGAUUAACUUAUCUUACAAGCGAGCAUAUAUAUACAAUUAUAUGGAGAUCUGAAUUAUCGGGACUAGAGCCCGUCUANNNNNNNNNNACACAUGAGUAAUGGCCCCUAGCUACACUAAAUCGUCCUUUGUCAUCUAUAGGUUCCGUCCUCAAAAAGGUCGCAAGCUCCUCUGCAGCAAUCGCGCGUUGCUCUGGUAGGACCUUCUCCCUUAUGGACGUGUACUAUAUAAGAAGAGGAGAUGAAUACGAAUAUCAAUCAUGAUAACAAAGAAUGACGGGUAAAAAUAGAGGUGUGAAUGUUCAUUGCUUACGUCAAAUCUGUGAUCCUUAUGCUCAGAGGUAAACGUGCGAAUGGUCUCGCAAACAUAGUAUCCGCAUAGAUGCGUCCCCCGUGGCUGCUGGUCGCACUUUACGAGAAUAUAAUAUAUAUAAUCAAAAUAAUAAUCUAGCAUCAUAAAUGUAUUGAAAAUAGAAGUAUAUCAUACUACUACUUACCUGAGCCGCUCUAAAGGUCAGCUUCUCAGGCUCGAUACCGGGAGUCACGCACUUGAACCGCUUCCAAACCCUGCCCGACAAGGAUAAUGAUUUGCUAAGUUUUUCGUUAAUUGANNNNNNNNNNNNNNNNNNNNNNNNNNNNNNNNNNNNNNNNNNNNNNNNNNNNNNNNNNNNNNNNNNNNNNNNNNNNNNNNNNNNNNNNNNNNNNNNNNNNACAUAAUGGUCAUGUAAUUCUAAAAAUUAUUAUCAUUUAGAAUAAUGUUCAUGUAAUUCUAAAAAUAAUAUUCACAUAAUUCUGAAUUUUAUUUUUUUUAAAAUAAGGUAAAUGUUAUCAUAUUAAAUAUUUCUGCAUUUAAAAAAUAUUUAUGAAUUAUAAUAAUUUCCAUCAACUAUAAACAAAUCAUGCAUUAUUAAAUUAUUCAGAAAAAUAUACAUUUAUUUUUGGCUGUAUUCAUGCAUUCCGAUAGAUAUUCGUGUAGUUACUUUAUGAGAAAAAUAUUACUUAAAGUAUUGUUCUUGUAUUUCUAACAUAUAUUGAAGAAUUAUUUAAAAUAAUAAUUACAUAAUUUAAGUAGUAAAUAUGAACUUUUUUAGGGGAAAAUAGUAAAUACGAAUUUUAAUCAAUUUAGAUAAUUUUAAUCGUAUUUAGUAUGAACUAAAAACACUAUCAUGGUAAUAAUGGACUGCGGUAAGUGCAGCCCAUUUAAACCCCAUCUGGGUUAUUAUGUUUUUUUGGUGCAAAACAUGGAUCACCAGGUAUAGCUAUCACAAAAGGAUAACAAGCCUGACUUGGCUGGGUUGCUUGUUCCUUCGGCUUAGGAUGAAGACACGUGUUCGAACCUCUGAGUUCUGCGUAAAUAUUUGUUUCCUCUUUGUAUUGUUUUCAGACGGAUGGGUUCUGAUGGUCUUUUUAAGAAAAAAAAUUAACAAGCUCUUUUGUGAUAAAUACAAAUUUUAGGGUGUUUUUCGUGAGCCUCGUCAGCAUGUUGAGCGUAUAAAAUAUGAUUAGCAUCAUAAAUGCAAACCCAAGCCAAGUUAUAUCGUCGAUCUAUACCGUAAGUUUUAGCACUGAUUUUUCUUGUUAAGUUUAAGCACUUGCGCUAUAAUUGACUUUUUUUUCAGGCGUCCGAUGAAUAGUGGGAUCCCUGCAACGAUAAUGAACAGGGCACAAUUGUGCUGUAGUUGGGCCGUAUGAGCGCGGACGCGCGGNNNNNNNNNNNNNNNNNNNNNNNNNNNNNNNNNNNNNNNNNNNNNNNNNNNNNNNNNNNNNNNNNNNNNNNNNNNNNNNNNNNNNNNNNNNNNNNNNNNNAAAGCGAUAAAUAUCAACAUGAAAGCAUGAUGCAAAAUGGACGUAUCACCGGUCCACCCACAUAUCAGACUAUCAAAGUAACGAACGCGAACCAUAUGAACAUGAUGAAACUAGCAUGACAGAAAUUCCCGUGUGUCCUCGGGAGCGUUUUUCCUCCUAUAAGACUUUGUUCAGGCUUGUCCCUUGAUACAAAAGGGAUUGGGCCACUUUGCUGCACCGUUGCUACUACUUGUUACUUGUUACUUUUCACUUGCUACGUUUCACCUUGCUACACCAUCAAUUGUUACCGCUACUUUCAGUGCUUGCAGUUAUUACCUUGCUGAAAACUGUUUAUCAGAGCCUUCUGCUCCUCGUUGGGUUCGACACUCUUACUUAUCAAAAGGACUAUACGAUUGAUCCCCUAUACUUGUGGGUCAUCAUAGAUCAUUCAUCUAAUCAUGGCAAGUGAAAGACUAAUAGACCGGAGGGAAUAAAUAAAACAAACCAAAUAAAGAUCCAUAUAUAAUCUGAUGAUGAAGUGACAAUUCAUCACACCGCAACAAACACAUCGGGAACUACAUCAAAUAGACCACAGGCAUGCAAGGCAGCUCAUGUGAUCUUUGUAUUGCAAAGAAGACACAGAGAUAGGAUGCCACAUAGCCAUUAUUAUGAACCCACAUUCCAAGGUGGACUACCCACAAAUGGUCAUGAGUUUGAUGAAGAUAGCUCUGGCGGAAAAUUUCCCAUCAACAGUUUACUCGAAAAAGCUUGUAGAUUGGAUCGCCCGAGAAAGCAUAGUGGCGGCAUGGAAAAAUGCAAGAUAAAUGUUUUUGGGGGUUUCUCAUCUAUAUCUCCAUAAAGGCGUCGAGGCUGAGAGGCGGCGGACCGACACCCUUGGGAGAGUGGUACGACAUGUUCCAGACCUAGGUAAUGCCGGCCCACCACGUCGAGCUCACAGGGCUUCCCCUGGUGGCUUCGGUGCUCCUGGUGUCCUUACUGACUUGAAACUUUGUGGGCUUCGGUGCUCCUGGUGUCCUUACUGACUUGAAACUUUGUGACAGAUUAUAUGUGCAAAAUUCAACAGCAUCCAGAAGAUUGCAACUAACGCUUGGCAUUGGAUUGAUACGUGUGUGUGUUCAUGCGCGCGUGUGCAUGUGCGUGUGUGCGUGUGUGUGUGUGUGUGCAUGUGUGCGUGUGUGUGUGCGUGCGUGUGUGUGCGCGCGCGUGCCAAAACUAUGUAACAAUGGUAUAAAUGUAGCAUGGACAUAGCAAAAAUUAGGGAUACAUUUGAGGCGUGUCCGAGAUCUUUUGCUCUACCGACAUUGGGAAAGGUCAAGGAAGAAAUUAAGAGUAGAGAGUAGAAAUCACGUCUUCCGAGAAUGUUUACUUAUUUUCACUUAAGUGUAAUUUUCUUUGGUAAUAACAGAAAUUGAAUUGGAUAGUUCUCCAAAAAAUUUAUUUUUUCGGAUCAUUGUGGAAACCUUGUGAGUUCUUAUAGUCGUGAGAUAUCCAUCCAUCGCUAGGUUUUGGAGCAUACUGAAGAACAUGAACACAAUCAUCUUUGGUAACCAGAUUAGAAACAUGGUAUGUCUAUUUGUCUUUAAGGAGCAUUCUCCAUGAUCAUACACAUAUGGUUAGUCUUAAGGACAAAAUGCAAAUAUCACUAGAUCAUUUGUAAUUUCAUCACUCUGUUUUGUAACUCCACAUGGUCAUUUUCAUAGAUAAAAGAUAAAAUGACAUAAUAGGGGCCUUGCCUAUUUUUUAUGCUAAAAAAUAUGUCUGUAGCGGCUUUCCAAGUAUAUCUUGGUUUAUAGGUCUGCAGAUCAAAUCUAGGUCGUUGAAGCAUCAUUGAAUGACUCUGGUCUUUAAAUUUAAGGUAAUGUUUUGGCAGAUCCGCUCGACCCCAGUUCAAUUUCACCUUUAAAUUUAACUCCACUUCCUAGGUCUAGAGCAGCAAAAGGAAGUUUGGCUAAGAAAUUCGAAGUAGAUCCAUAUUAGAGAGAGGUUGUUGUGAAAUAUCUAGAUUACUCCUUUAAAUGGUUUACUUUUCUUAAGUUAUUUUUCUAUCGAUCAUGAUUUUGGUCUUCUCCAGCUCACACAUUAUGAGAUGGAGUUUCUAGCCUUCUAAUGUAUCUCAUUUGUCAUCACGAACAAUUGAUGAACGUACAAGAGUGCCACCUAGUCAAGGCAUUUAAGGGGUUCAUGUAGGAUAAUGGCUUGAGGCCAUUUAUUUAUAUUGGCAUAUAACUUCACAUCAACUCCAGGGUUGGGUGAGUGUUAGGUGAUGUGAAGCUAGCAGAUGAAGCACCUUAUGCUACAUUUGGUAUCUCACUGUUUUGGGAGUUUUAGGAGAAUAUCGCGGUUUCCAACAAAACCUUGGAUUUAAAUAUUUUUUAUGUUUUUGCCAUGAAUAAAUACAAUUGUUUAAUAAUCCAUAGCAUCUUCAGGGCUGAGGCCUUUCUUUUGCAGUAUUUGAAAAAUAAGUAUUGCCCUAUUUUUCCUAAACUGGCCAGAAAAAUCUUUGGUUUAGCGAAGCUAAAGUAUCAAUUGCCCAUAAAUGGGAUACUAAUAUUUUAGAUUACUACAAUUCUCUACCUAGUUUUCGUAAAUGCCGCUGAAAGAAGAGAUGCUCCCUGAAUAAAUAUAUUUCAAAAGGAGUUAGGCCCAGAUUUUUUUGACAAAUAUGAACAGAGGAAAAAAUACAGAGUGAUGGUCUAGACUACCAACAAGGGUUUUAUCCUCCACUUCAUGGAUAAAAUCAAUAUCAGUAGCAAACCCUUUAGCAUGAUUGGUGGGUAAAGCAGUAUGAGACUAAAUAGUAAAUUUUGAUGGAGCACCAAGCUCUCUCAAAUUUUUCUCCACCAUUGGAGUUAUCAUCAUUCUGCAAAUAAAUAUUUAAUACCAACAAUAACUGACUUAUCAAGUUUGUUAUGAGUUUCAAAAGCACUUCCUUUAAGAAUCUAUCAAUAUUGUCUAGAAAAUGUUGUCUUCCAGAGCAUGUAAUUCCUGUGUGAAACAGUAAUCAUCUACUGCCAUAAUACGUGUAAACUACUCGAUAAACUAACACUCGAUGUCUAUGUAACGCCUCGGACACACACACCGAUAGUCGCCUCAUAGAUCAAUACUAGUCUAUCAUGGGCAUUUUGUCCUCAUUCGUACACACCCGGGACGAACAUCCCGGUCGGUCACCCAUCCUGAAAUUACACCAAGCUGAGCACAGUUAACUUUGGAGUUUUAUUCGAAUGGGCUCCCGAAAAAAUAAUAAUUCUUUAUUGAUAUGAGUAGUCUAUCAUUCCUAUUAAGCGAGUCUAUCAAAUACACCCCCAUUCAGAGGAACUGACGUCACUAUCAUCCCUAUUAAACUAGCUCCCAAAAAAGAUACGAAGUUGAAGUUUUAGGACAAAUUCACCUACUCCCCGUGACCCUAAAAACAAGGAACUAGAUGUUUUCCCUCUUUCCUCCGAAAUCAAGGCACAUGAUCAUUUAGACCAACUAGAUGACUUGAUGUGCCCAUGGCGUAAAACCCAAAUCAAGUCAAGAAGGGGGCAAACUAUAUCAAGUUGUAACUGAAACGAAUGCUCAUUACGCCAAUGGUGCUAAUACGAAUUACAACUCAAAAACUAAAAAAUUGCUGAAUAUUCAUGGGUCUCACACCAACUCCACUCCUGGCGUGAAACUAAAGAUUGCACUUCCAUCCCUUGCCAUACCUGGGCUUUUGAGAUUUAUUUGAAAUUUGUUUAAUAUUCACAUUGUCUAGGCCAAUUAAUUCUAACAAGUAGAGUUGGGGGACUCAACCACAGAGGACUCGAACUCGGGGCAUGAAAGAGUCGGACCCGACCAUCGAUGAUGCCACGUGGCAAAGCAAAGUCCUUGAGGAAGUCUCACUCGAUCAUGGAGGAUUCAAACUGAGCCACGGAGAAGCUUGCCAUCGAGGGAGUCUUUCGUCCACCCUAGCCCCAUAAGUAACGAGGUCCACUCGACAUUCACCUCUUCAGGCUAUGAAAAAGCAGAGGAUGAGUCAGACCAGGACUAGAGGUCUCGAUUGUCGAGUAGUUCGUCAUUGGGGUGUGACGCAAUGAAGUGGAGUCCACAAAUGAGACUUGGACUCGGGUGAGGAGUGAGGCCCUCUGGUCCGAUUGAGUUUUUCUUUUAAAGGAGGAUAACCCCCGGUUUGUGCAUUAGGGCGAUGCAUACAUCCAUUUAAUAUUAAGAGUGCAAAAUCUAGCAGUCGAACAACAUAGACCUGGAAAUAAAGCAAAAAAAAAGCCUCAUGCCUCGUGACAGUAGCUCCACCAGGGAGCUACUAACUCUAUGUUACAUAGACGACAUCAAAACAAAAAAUACACACCUCUCAGGCUAGGCCUCCAAGAAUGAAUUGUCAUACGUGCACUAAUAACGACAAGUCCAACACAAGGUUGAACUUUGGAUUCUCAUCUUUAAAUUCAAGUUUCAAUCCACCACCGUUAGCAAGGCCCGAAUGGAUGUUGGAGGAAGUCGGAAUUGUCCAUGGAGGAGUUUGCAAUCAAAGAAGUCAGACUCAACACAAAUAAAAAUUCUCUUUUUUUUAUCAAUUUUGCUAUUUCUCGCGUACCUGAAUCUUUUCUUACGUUAAUUACCGCCUUACUUACUUCCAACUUCACCGAAGAAGAAAAAACCUCAAUAGAGAAGCCAUCGCCACACCAUCUAUCUUAGGAGGGAAGUCAUUGCCGCAUUAUCCAUCUUAUUUCUGGCAAGGGUUGUAGAAGAUCGUGUGAGUUCUUCUCUGUUGCGGGAUUGCGGUGGGGCUUAGAGGGAUGGUUGGGGAGACAACCAACAACGACGGAGGGGGAGGGGUCGAGGGGACGACAGGCCGGCGAGGCCGUGUGUGGUAGCGCAUGCCGACCGUGGGUGAUGAAUGUCGGCGGUUAUGGCAGGGCAGGUUGUGGACCGUGGGAGAAAGAAGAUCGUGCGGGACUAGGAAGAUAAACGGUGACGACGUGUUUCUAACCGUUGAAUAUUGAUCUGAUGGUCUAAAUCAUAAGUGACUGAUACUAAGAGUUUUUUCACGAGUCAAUUACACCACAGAUGCGUGAACUUGGCAAGAAAAGUCAGUUUGGUGCUAAAACUUACGACAUACAUUGAACAGGUGCCAAAACUUGACAUGGUCGUGCAUCUACGACGCUAAUCACGUUAUGUAUACGCACAACAUGCUGACGAGGAUCAAUUGUAGCCUUUCUCGAUAAGAAAGAGUGUCGAACCCAACGAGGGGCUAAAGGUAGGACAAAUAUUCCCUCAAGUUCUAUCGACCACCGACACAACUCUACGCACACUUUACGUUCGCUUUACCUAGAACAAGUAUGAAACUAGCAGUACUUUGUAGGAGUGAUAGGAUAGGCUUGCAAGAAAGUAAAGUACACGUAAAUAAAAUUGGGGGCUGGUUAGAUAAAGAAACAACUACGAGUGUCUAAUGAGUGUGGAAAAGUGGUGGUAGGAGUUGCGGAAUUGUCCCUAAGCAAUUGACUACGUUACUAGAUCGAUAGCAAGUAUCAUGUGGGAGAGGCCUCUGCUAGCAUGUCAUCCCUUACUUGGAAUUCUAUGCACUUAUGAUUGGAACUAUUAGCAAGCAUCCGCAAAUACUAACGUUCAUUAAGGUAAAACCCAACCAUAGCAAUAAGAUAUAUUGGUCCCCCUUCAAUCCCAUAUGCAUCAAUUUCUAUGCUAGGUUUGAAGCUGCUGUCACUCUAGCCUUCCAAUACAUAGUCCUAUCAACGUACAACUAACCCUAUGGUGUGAUCCACGCGCGCGAUCAUAUGAUGGGCACCAAAGGACAGCAACAUAACCACAAGCAAAUUAAACCAACCAUAGCAAUUCAUCAAUCACCGAUAGAACAACGAUAAUCUACUCAGACAUCAUAGGAUAGCAACACAUCAUUGGAUAAUAAUAUGUAGCAUAAAGCACCAUGUUCAAGUAGAGGGUACAGCGGGUUGCGGGAGAGUGAACCGCUGAAUAUAGAUGGGGGAAGAUGAUGGAGAUGUNNNNNNNNNNGAGGUGUUGGUGUAGAUCGCCGUCACACGAUGAUGUCCCGGGCGGCGUUCCGGCGCCGCCGGGAGAGAGGGGGAGAGAGCCCUCCUCCUUCUUCUUCUUCCUUGACCUCCUCCCUAGAUGGGAGAAGGGUUUCCCCUCUGGUCCAUGGUCUCCAUGGCGGCGGAGGGGCGAGAGCCCCUCCGAGAUUGGAUCUCUCUCUCUGUGUCCUUCUGUUUCCGCGCUCCCAGAUUCUGUGUUUCACCGUUUCUGAAAUUUCCGGAGAUCCGUAACUCCGAUUGGGCUGAAAUUUUAACACGAUUUUCUUCCGGAUAUUAUCUUUCUUGUGACGAAAGAAGGGCUCCAACCGCCUUAAGGAGUGGCCACAAGCCUGCCUGCCGCGGGCCCACCCCCUNNNNNNNNNNNNNNNNNNNNNNNNNNNNNNNNNNNNNNNNNNNNNNNNNNNNNNNNNNNNNNNNNNNNNNNNNNNNNNNNNNNNNNNNNNNNNNNNNNNNNNNNNNNNNNNNGUGGGCACUCCAUGCAUCGUCUCGCGUUGAUUCUUCUUCCCAAAAAUCAUAAAUAUUCAAAAAAAAUCCCCGUAAGUUUUUAUUACGUUUGGACUUCGUUUGGUAUGGAUAUUCUGCGAAACAAAAAACAUGCAACAAACAGGAACUGGCACUGGGCACUGGAUCAAUAUGUUAGUCCCAAAAAUAGUAUAAAAAGUNNNNNNNNNNNNNNNNNNNNNNNNNNNNNNNNNNNNNNNNNNNNNNNNNNNNNNNNNNNNNNNNNNNNNNNNNNNNNNNNNNNNNNNNNNNNNNNNNNNNCUUCCCUUUGAAUAGGCUGAGGUUGGACCCACCUUUUUUAGGGUCUGCAUCAUUGUGCCGAGGCUUCGGAUUAUGCAAAUGAUGAUUUUUGGCUUCGUAGUGUGCUGUCACAAAGUUUGCCACCUCCUCAGUAAUGAAUGCCUUAGCCAUCGAUGCUUCAACUCUACGCUUAUUUUUACAUUUAGCUCGAAGGGUCUUCUGCAUCCCCUCAGUUGCAUAGCACCAACGGUCUUGCACGGGCCCACCCAAUCUUGCCUCGGUCGGUAGAUGUAAAAUCAAAUGAUGCAUUGGAUGAAAGAAGCCCCGUGGAAAGAUCUUCUCUAACUUGCACAAAAACUCCGGUGCAAACUCCUCCAUGUCUUCUACCACGCCAGGCGACAAUUCUUUCGCACAAAGAACACGGAAGAAAUAGCUCAGCUCCGCCAGUACUAGCCAUUCAUCCUCAGGAAUAAAGCCACGUAACAUCACCGGCAUUACCCGCUCUAGCCACAUGUGCCAAUCAUGACUCUUGAGACCAAAGAUUUUUAAUUUUUCAAGACUCGCUCCCCUCUUUAGAUUCGUUGCAUACCCAUCGGGGAACAUCAAGUGCAUUUUGACCCACAAGAUAAAUUCCCUCAUAGCUGGCCUUCCAAGAUUGAACCAGGCCUUUGGCUUCGACCACUUCUGCUUUCUUUGCCUUCUCGCAUGUUUUGUAACGGUCUAUGACAUAAUGUCUCUUGAUCGACUCUAGCCUUAAUAUUAUCCUUUGUCUUCCCAUCUAUGUCGAACAAUGUACCAAAAAUAGCCUCUCCGAUAUUCUUUUCAGUGUGCAUCAUGUCGAUAUUGUGUAGAAGAAGGAGGUCUUUGAAGUAAGGCAGAUCCCAGAAGCAUGGCUUNNNNNNNNNNNNNNNNNNNNNNNNNNNNNNNNNNNNNNNNNNNNNNNNNNNNNNNNNNNNNNNNNNNNNNNNNNNNNNNNNNNNNNNNNNNNNNNNNNNNUGUCUUUAUAAAUAUUGUAGAUGGCCAACGUCAACCUCAAUUUCAACGCAUUCCUAGAGAAAAACAAGCUGAAAGAUGAUGGUAGCAACUAUGCGGACUGGGUUCACAACUUGAAGCUCAUCCUUGAAGCAGCUAAAAAGGCUUAUGUCCUUGAUGCGCUGCUAGGUGACCCUCCCGCUCCCGCAGCAGCCCAGGACAUUAUGAACGUCUGGCAAACGCGGAGUGAUGACUACUCUCUGGUUAGGUGUGGCAUGUUAUACAGUUUAGAAACGGGCUCCAAAGGCGUUUUGAGCAACACGGAGCAUAUGAGAUGUUCCAGGAGCUGAAGCUAGUUUUUCAAGCUCAUGCCCGUGUCGAGAGAUAUGAAGUCUCCGACAAGUUCUUUAGCUGUAAGAUGGAGGAGAACAGUUCUAUCAGUGAGCACAUACUCAAUGUUUGGGUUGCACGGUCGUCUGACUUCACUUGGAGUCGAACUUCUGGAUGAUGCUAUAAUUGACAGAAUCCUCCAGUCUCUCCCACCAAGCUACAAAGGCUUUGUGCUUAACUACAACAUGCAAGGGAUGGAGAAGACCGUUCCCGAGUUGUACUCGAUGCUCAAGUCUGCAGAAGUAGAAAUCAAGAAAGAGCAUCAAGUGUUGAUGGUCAACAAGACCACUAGUUUCAAGAAAGGCAAGGGUAAUAAGAACUUCAAGAAAGACGGCAAAGCUGUUGCCGCGCCCGGUAAGCCAGAUGCCGGGAAGAAGAAAAAGAAUGGACCCAAGCCUGAGACUGAGUGCUUCUAUUGCAAGGAAAAAGGUCACUGGAAGCGGAACUGCCCCAAAUACUUAGCGGACAAGAAGGCCGGCAACGUUAAAGGUAUAUGUGAUAUACAUGUUACUGAUGUGUACCUAACCAGCGCUCGUAGUAGCUCUUGGGUAUUUGAUACCGGUGAUGUUGCUCACAUUUGCAACUCAAAGCAGGAACUGCGGAAUAAGCGGAGACUGGCCAAGGACGAGGUGACGAUGCGCGUCGGGAAUGGUUCAAAGGUCGAUGUGAUCGCCGUCGGCACGCUACCUCUACAUCUACCGUCGGGAUUAGUUUUAAACCUUAAUAAUUGUUAUUUAGUACCAGCUUUAAGCAUGAACAUUGUAUCAGGGUCUUGCUUAAUGCGAGACGGCUACUCAUUNNNNNNNNNNNNNNNNNNNNNNNNNNNNNNNNNNNNNNNNNNNNNNNNNNNNNNNNNNNNNNNNNNNNNNNNNNNNNNNNNNNNNNNNNNNNNNNNNNNNCGGCGCGUUCGUGGCGGCGAGGUAGCGGCCGUAGGCGGCGCUGUGGAGAAGCACGUGCUGGGCCUGGGCAUCGUCAUCGGCAUCGCCCUGGUACAGGUGCACCGCCCAAGCCGCGUUCAUAGACGCCCGGCAGUGGUGGAGGGAGACGCCAUGCCCGUCCUCGUUGGCGUGCAGGUACGUCCCGUGCACGCGGCUCCGCAGCCGCACGUGGUGGCCGUCCUGGAGAUGCUCCAUCUGCUGGAGGGCGCUGCGAGGUGGAAGUGGGGAGGAUGGGUUCUUGGUUUCUUGGCGCUCCGGCGAGGUGGAGAAGAUGAGAAGCGAAAGCUGUUGGUUGUGCCGGUUAUGUUAGGCGCCAAGGUGAGGAUGGGUUCUAUUUCAAGAUGGCUGACACGCCGUCGCCGUACGCCCAGGUGGGCUUGCGGGCCGAGGCCCGAAAAAAAAGUUCCUUGGGUUGCGUAAGUUAAUGUCCACAACACACUGUUAUGUUUUUUCUCAGCUUAUACCAUACUCCCUCCGUUUCUUAAAUAUAAAUCUUUUUCAUAGGUUUUAUUUAAAAAUUACAUACGAAUGUAUUAGACAUAUAUAAAGUGUAGAUUCACUUAUUUUGCUCCGUAUGUAGUCCUCUAGUGAAAUCUUUAAAAAAAGUUAUAUUUAGGAACAGAGGGAGUAUAAGCUAAAAAAAGUUGUUCUUCUCAAAAAUAAAAAGCUAAACAAAUUGUGUAUCACACAAAAAAUAUAUAAAAAAUUGUUGCUAAAACAUAGCUAAUUUUUUCUAAAAAAUGCUUUAUCUAAAAAAGAAAAAAUGCUGCAUUUCUAAAAACAAUUACUGUUUUGUCUAUGCAAAAUAAAAGGCUCUCCUUCCAUGCUUUACAAAACACAAUUUUAUCAUAUAUAGCAUGCUUCAUAAGCUGUGCACGCGGCUCCGCGGCCGCACGUGGUGGCCGUCCUGGAACUGCUCCAUCUGUCGCCGGUGACGCUGGAGAGCAGAGGCGCGCGGUGGACAGAGAAACCGAGCGGGGAAGGAGAGGUGGGGAUGAUGAUCCGUGGGUUCUUGGUUUCUUGGCGCUGCGGCGAGGCGGAGAAGAGAAGAAGCGAAAGCUGUUGGUUGGGACGGUUACGUUGGGCGCCAAGGCGAGAGUAUUUCAAGGCUUCGGCACUAGGUGGGCCGUUGGAAAUAGGCCUCGAAGCCCACGUAAUUUUCUGAACCAGCACGCCUAACCAUCCACAAGCAGUUGCUCGAAAAACAAAAUCCACAAGCACACUAAAAAAAGACGUCCACACACAAUACUGCUCUGUUUAAAAAUGGCAAUUUUCCUUUUUGGCUCAAGAAAAAGAAAAUACAACCGCAUUGAAUUGACAUUUAUUGAACGUUUCAUUGAAUUGACAUAUCGAGAUGAUACAAUCGCAUUGAAAGAAUGUCCGCCCCUACGUAGCAUGAUGCACACAAUCAUCAAGUCCAACAGAUCCAAAAAUAAACAUCAUUUUACAGCAAUAGCAAAUCAGUCCAGCCUAGGAUGGGGCACAUCCUAUCCAGAGAUUAAAAAUCAUGUGCAUGCAUGAAUAACCUGUACAGAAAACACAUUUAUUAUUAAAAAUCACAUCGUUCUUGAUAAGGCACAAUGCCCAGCAUAAGCAGUCGCUCCUAAAAGAAUGUGGGUAGAAAAUUGUUUAUCAAUAUCCCGCAACCAUUAGCCGAUCAUGUCACAUGGAGAUAUAGAUUUGAAGCUACUUGAACUAUGGGCCACAGUGCACGAGUGAACUUACACUAAAAAAUAAAAUGUUCAAUAAAACAUAAAAUGUUUGUGAAUUCAAAAACUGAUCGGGAUUUAUGUAAAAAUGUUCGCAAAACAAAAAAAAUGCAUGAUUUUAAACAAAAGUCCGUGUAUUAAAAAUUAUUAAUGAAAUUUAAUAAAAUGUUUGCCAAAACAUGUUCAUGCAUUUCAAGAAAUGUCCUAAAAUUUUCAAAACAGUUUGUGAAUUACAAAAGAGUUUACUGAUUAGAAAAUAAUUGUUGACUCAGAAAGUGUUCAUGAAUUUAGAAAAAAAUCAUGAGUUUCAAAACAAAUCCACCAACUUCGAAAAAUAUGUUUGUCUAUUCCGGAAUUGUUCGUCAAUUCAAAAGAAAAUACUUAAAAAUCGUUCGCAUUAUAAAAAAAUGUUUAUAAUUUAAAAAAAUGUUUGUAAAUUGUAAAAAAUGUUCUCAAUUUUAAAAGAGUUUCUAAAUUUGUAAAAAUGUUCAUGAAUGAUUGAAGGUAUGUAAUUAAACAGUAAUGCUUCUGAGUCUUUGUGACAAUAUACCCGUGUGAAUUUUGAAGAAUUAACUACAAGGGUGGAUCAAAAUAUUAUAGUAUGUUUUCUAAAAAAAAUUUCUUGAAAUUCAGAAUAAUUCUUUGAAUUACCAAGUUUUUUGACAACCAUGAUAUUUUUUCGAAAAUGUGAACAUUGCUUUAGCUUGUGAAUAAAUUAAAAGAAGAAACAUUUUCUUGCAUUUAUGCACAAAAUUUUAAAAUCAUGCGGUGAGAUAUGAACAUAACUAUGAACACAACAUGGUCAUCAUCAUUGGAGAUUAUGAUAUUUUUUUCUCCUGUUGCAAUGCACGGGCCCUUUUGCUAGUAAAUCUAAUAUACCAUAGUGAUCUCGCGGGUACCGUUCUAUUACCCCACACUCCUCACUAUCAAUCGAUGUGAAUCUCUAAGCAAGGGCACCAAUAUCACUUUCGUUGUCUGCUCCACACGUAGCAUCAUCCAUCUCUUGCUUCAGUUGGUAAAUCUAGAUGUUAUAGUCCUUGAUAGAUUUACAAUUUUUUUCCUGUUUGAAACAUGAUUUCAUUGUUAUUGCCAAAUGAAAGGGCAUGGCCAGGGAGCAAAAACUAAACAAACUAAUUUUCUGAAUACGUUACAAACACACCAAAAUAAAAAAAUCUAACGGCCAUACGUGACCAUGUCUUCCCAAACGCAUCUAAUACUUCUGCCAACAUGCCCUCCAUCUGCUGGAGGGCAGAGACCGUCGGGGCUGCGCAAUGGAAGUGGGGAGGAUGGGUUCUUGGUUUCUUGCCGCUCCGGCGAGAUGGAGAAGAUGAGAAGCGAAAGCUAUUGGUUGUGGCGGUUAUGUUAGGCGCCAAGGCAGAGUAUUUC